RNAcentral lists this ribosomal RNA (424 nucleotides) under Verrucomicrobiota bacterium. RNAcentral's name for it is "Verrucomicrobia bacterium partial 16S ribosomal RNA". It matches the Rfam family "Bacterial small subunit ribosomal RNA", at positions 355 to 776 of the family's 1533-position model. The record is from RNAcentral. Lineage: Bacteria; Pseudomonadati; Verrucomicrobiota.
UGAGGAAUAUUGGUCAAUGGGCGAGAGCCUGAACCAGCCAAGUAGCGUGCAGGAUGACGGCCCUAUGGGUUGUAAACUGCUUUUAUAUGGGAAUAAAGUGAGGGACGUGUCCCUUAUUGCAUGUACCAUAUGAAUAAGGACCGGCUAAUUCCGUGCCAGCAGCCGCGGUAAUACGGAAGGUCCAGGCGUUAUCCGGAUUUAUUGGGUUUAAAGGGAGCGUAGGCUGUUUGUUAAGCGUGUUGUGAAAUGUAAGAGCUCAACUUUUAGAUUGCAGCGCGAACUGGCAGACUUGAGUGCGCACAACGUAGGCGGAAUUCAUGGUGUAGCGGUGAAAUGCUUAGAUAUCAUGAAGAACUCCGAUUGCGAAGGCAGCUUGCUGCAGUGCGACUGACGCUGAUGCUCGAAGGUGCGGGUAUCAAACAGG